Molecule: ribosomal RNA, 428 nt
Filed under: uncultured bacterium
Lineage: Bacteria
Description: bacterial SSU rRNA
Rfam family: Bacterial small subunit ribosomal RNA
Source: RNAcentral
GACGAACGCUGGCGGCGUGCUUAAUACAUGCAAGUCAACGAUAACCAGGGUGCUUGCAUCCUGGGGAAAGGUGGCGCACGGGUGCGUAACGCGUAGGUAAUCUGCCCUUAGGACUGACAUAACUCCGGGAAACCGGGGCUAAUAUCAGAUAAUGCAGCGGCUCGGCAUCGAGACAGUUGUUAAAUCUUCGGAGCCUAAAGGGAUNAACCUGCGUCCCAUUAGGUAGUUGGUGAGGUAAAUGCUCACCAAGCCUGCGAUGGGUAGCUGGUCUGAGAGGAUGAUCAGCCACACUGGAACUGAGACACGGUCCAGACUCCUACGGGAGGCAGCAGUAAGGAAUAUUGCUCAAUGGGAGAAAUCCUGAAGCAGCAACGCCGCGUGGAGGAUGAAGGCAUAUUUGUCGUAAACUCCUGUAAGAAGGGAAAAAU